GACGAACGCUGGCGGCGUGCUUAACACAUGCAAGUCGAACGGAAAGGCCCUGCUUUUGUGGGGUGCUCGAGUGGCGAACGGGUGAGUAACACGUGAGUAACCUGCCCUUGACUUUGGGGUAACUUCAGGAAACUGGGGCUAAUACCGGAUAGGAGCUCCUGCUGCAUGGUGGGGGUUGGAAAGUUUCGGCGGUUGGGGAUGGACUCGCGGCUUAUCAGCUUGUUGGUGGGGUAGUGGCUUACCAAGGCUUUGACGGGUAGCCGGCCUGAGAGGGUCACCGGCCACAUUGGGACUGAGAUACGGCCCAGACUCCUACGGGAGGCAGCAGUGGGGAAUAUUGCACAAUGGGCGGAAGCCUGAUGCAGCAACGCCGCGUGCGGGAUGACGGCCUUCGGGUUGUAAACCGCUUUCGCCUGUGACGAAGCGUGAGUGACGGUAAUGGGUAAAGAAGCACCGGCUAACUACGUG
Molecule: ribosomal RNA, 468 nt
Filed under: uncultured bacterium
Lineage: Bacteria
Description: partial 16S ribosomal RNA
Rfam family: Bacterial small subunit ribosomal RNA
Source: RNAcentral